AUUAACCAUUGUCACUAUGAGGUUCGCUUCGUUUGUGGUGUUUACUGCUUACAUUGCCUGUUCUGUGGCUUUUAAAAAUCGUGUAGGAAUGCGGUGAGCCACAUUCAGAAGUUGGUCUAUGCAAAGCGGGCUUUGACAGAUGAAUCUAUGAUCCAGUUGUCAAUAAAUGCGAGGAGUUUCUCUAUGAAAGAUGUUUUGGAAACGGGAAUAUUUUUUUUAACUCAGCAAGAAUGCGAAGAGCAAUGUCUAUAAUAAUUACUGUGGAUAGCAG
Long non-coding RNA from Drosophila innubila, 271 nucleotides. RefSeq lists it as uncharacterized. The transcript is spliced from 2 exons. NCBI's taxonomy places the organism in Eukaryota, Metazoa, Arthropoda, Insecta, Diptera, Drosophilidae. The record is from RefSeq and is a predicted model, not a curated record.